UACGGAGGGGGCAAGCGUUAUCCGGAUUCACUGGGUUUAAAGGGUGCGUAGGUGGAUUGGUAAGUCAGUGGUGAAAUCUCCAAGCUUAACUUGGAAACUGCCGUUGAUACUAUCAUUCUUGAAUAUCGUGGAGGUGAGCGGAAUAUGUCAUGUAGCGGUGAAAUGCUUAGAUAUGACAUAGAACACCGAUUGCGAAGGCAGCUCACUACACGAUCAUUGACACUGAGGCACGAAAGCGUGGGGAGCAAACAGG
Molecule: ribosomal RNA, 253 nt
Filed under: uncultured bacterium
Lineage: Bacteria
Description: partial 16S ribosomal RNA
Rfam family: Bacterial small subunit ribosomal RNA
Source: RNAcentral